This is a long non-coding RNA of Callithrix jacchus (white-tufted-ear marmoset), 4711 nucleotides long. RefSeq lists it as uncharacterized. Lineage: Eukaryota; Metazoa; Chordata; Mammalia; Primates; Cebidae. The record is from RefSeq and is a predicted model, not a curated record.
AUACAGAUUCGGAACUCAGUUGAGAGGCUGGGACUAGAUAAACUUUGGAAUAAUCAGUAUAGAUGAUAUUGAUAACAAUAAUAUGAGUAAGAUCACAUAGGGAGAGAAAGCAGAUGGAGAAGAGAUGAUAAAACUGAGCCCUAGAGCAUUCCAGCAUUUAGAGAUUGAGAACGAGAGAAGCAGCCAACAAAACAAGCUGACAAGGGGCUUUCAGUAAGGCAAGAAAGAAAGCAAAGGGCAGACUUUCGGAAGCAAAGCAAAGUAAAUAUUUCAAGAAGGAAGGAAAUUCUGUUAAAUGACUUUAGAGAUUAAAUAAGAAUGGGCAACCAGUUCUCUUCACCAUCCUCAGCUUAUACUCUUCUGGAGUGUAUCCUGGAUGAUUGGGACUGCUGUGACUCUCAGAAUCUGGAGGAAAAGUGCCUCAUGGCUCCCUGCACAAAGGAGGGAGGCAGGAGCAGAUUUGGCUGCAGAAGAGGAAAAGGCAAUGUGACCACAGAAGCGGAGACUGCAGUCAUCGUGGGUACCUGCCAAGACCACCAGCAGACAGCCACCAGAAGAUGGAAGAGGCAAGGGACAGAUUCUUCCCUGAAACCUCCCGAAGGAUCCAACCCUGAUGACACUUUGAUGUUAGUCCUGUAUAACUCAUUUUGAAUUUAUACUUAAUUGUAAUUGUUCUAGCUUCCAGAACUGUAAAAACAAAACAAACAAACAAACAAACCCAAAAAACAUUUCUAUUGUUUUAAGCCACAGGGUUUGUGGUAAUUUGUUACAACAGCAAUAGAUAAUACAUGCAUAUUUGAAACUUUUUGGAAUUUAAAGCCUAAUAAAUGUCCGUGUACAUUAAUACUGAUUCUGUAAUAUAGGCAAACUAUAGAAAAGUAAAGAUUAACACAGCAAAAGUGGUUCAAAUUGUUCUGAUGCCACCUAACUGGCAAACAUAACUAGCAUCUUUUGUGAUUCAGUGUUCACCUUUUAUAUUGUUGACGGCAUUUCCCAACUGCUAUUAUAUCAUUUCAUUAAUAGUGUUCAUCAUUCUCACCCCAAAUUCUUCUGAAAUAUGUAGCUGAAAUGAUUGACAAUUUUUAUAUAUUAGCUGUUUCUAUGUAACAACAAAGCAAAUGGGCACUGCCAGUUGCGAUUUUUUCUUAAAUGCCCCUUAAGAAUCAAUCUACAUUUUCUCAGGGAACUGAUAUUCUAGAAAUCACUCUAGCCUAAGAUGGUAUGGUGCUAAAAAUGCCUCAAGCAUGGAGACAUUCAAGAUAAAUUUAGAUUCUAUUCACACCACUUCAUUAAGGCAAUGAUAUUCUAGAAUGGUCUGUAAAUAACCAGGUGGCAUCCUAACAAGGAUUCUCCAUAGGAAUGCAAUACCCUGAGGCUAACAGCUUCAGCUAAGCCAUCUUUUUAAGUUAAUCUUGAAAAAUGAAAAAUCAAUUAACAUUUUGCUUCUCAGAUCUCGUGUAAACAUAAAAAAUCUAAUAAUUUUUUCAAAUCAAUAAAUAUGUUCACAUAGGAAUUAUAUAACCAUGCAGUUAUAAAUAUGUUAAAAGUAAUUUUAAAAUCUUCUUGAAAUGUAUGUAAACAGAAAGAGCAACAAUCAUGAGCAACUGGAACAUAUAUUCCAGUUACUGGCCCAAUAUUGAAUCCUGUUAAUAGCUUUUAAAGAUCAUUAUAUGUUUAAAGAUUACUAUAUGAAUGCAUAAAUGCCUUUAUAUUGUCCCUGCAAGCCAUACAAAAGUAUAUCAGAACCCAGAGCUUAGAUUACUCUCUGAACUUUUCUAUUUCCAUUUGAAAUAGAUCUUUUCUAGCCAUGUGUUGCCAUUUUUAUUUUUCAAUAGUUGUACUAAUUUCUAGAUACUUCCUGCUAAGGCAAGAUAUCCUUCCAAUGUUUCCCCAAUACUAUGUCCUCAUCAAAACGAUUUUGUUACAAUCCAUUAUUUUAUUGGACAGUUACUGUGCCAAAAUCAUUCUGAAUAACUUCUAAUCAUAUUAAUUAGAGUGCUUUCAAAAGGAACAAAGCAUUUGGUGAAGUACUGUUUAUUAAGCAUCUAUUUUGUAUAUGGCACUAUAGAGUGCUAGAAAGAAAUGAAAAACACAGUUUUGUCCUCAAGAAGCUUAUCUCCUCAUAAGAGAAGGUACCACAUUUACAGAAAAAGCAAUAAUGACCAGCUAAACAUUAAACAUGUCAUAAAGAAGUGUCAAUUAUGUGCUAUAGGAAUUCAGAGGAGAAAAAAGAUCACCUAAGAUUAGGAAAAUCCAUAAAUAUAACCCUUAAAAAUGAGAAGGAUUUGGACUGGCCUUGAUGGGGAGAAGAGAAUGAACUGGGGGAGAGGAAUGAGGAAUGAAUUGAGGGAGGAGACUAAGUAAAAAAAUAGAUAGUAUAUGAGAUCAGUAAACAGCUGAGUUUGGCUGGAGGAAAAGGUACAGAAUGGGAGAAGCAGCCAGAAGCUUGAGAAGUUAUGUUUCCAACUGACUCCAAAAGGCCUAAAUACCAGGCUAAAAACUUUAACUUUAUUUAUCAAGCAAUAAAGAGUUACACAGGAUGACUACAAAAAAUAAAGUCAAUUGGAAUAAAUAAAGUUUUGGGCUUGUUUGCUUUGUUCUUUUUUGGAAGAAUAGAGGGGAAAAGGGGGAGAAUUCCUUAUUUACUUCAGAUAUCAGAAAUCAGCAAAUUUUUGCAGGAGCUAAAGAAAGGUAGCACACAUUGGCUGGGCCUGGUGGCUCAAAGCUGUAAUCCCAGCACUUUGGGAGGCCGAGAUGUAUGGAUCACCUGAGGUCAGGAGUUCGAGACCAGCCUGGCCAACAUGGCGAAACCUCGUCUCUGCUAAAAUACAAAAAUUAGCCGGGCAUGUUGGUGGGUGCCUGUAAUCCUAGUUACUCAAGAUGCUGAGGCAGGAGAACUGCUUGAGCCUGGGAGGCAGAGAUUACAGUGAGCCAAGACUGUGCCACUGCACUCCAGCCUGGGCGACACAGCGAGACUCCGUCUCCAAAAAAAAAAAAAAAGAAACGAAAAGAAAAGUUAGCACACAUCAAAUGGAAACAGAGAACCUUAGUACAUGUAUGAAAACUAACUGGACACGAUAAGCUAUUCAGUCAUGUCAGAAUACCCAGAAUUCUGAGUAGUUGAAUAAGACCUUUUUUUUUUGAUACAUACUUAGGGUGUACAACUUGAUGAUUUGAUAGACAUAUAUAUAUAUAUAGUUAUAUGGUUAGUGAUAUAGUUAAAUGGUUACUACAGUCAAGUGAUUUAACAUCUAUUGUCUCAGAUAUUUAUCCCCUUUCCACUUUUUUGUGGUAAUUGCAUCUAAAGUCUGCCUUGGCAAAAUUCUAGUUAUAACACAAUAUUACUAUAGUCCUCAUGCUGUAGUCAUUGAAUCUCUGGAUUUAUUCAUCCUACAUAACUACAACUUUGUACCCUUUGAUCUACAUCUCCCCAUUUCCUGCCUACCCUCCACCCCUAACCCUCAUCCCCCGUAACUACCAUUCUACUCUUUGUUUCUAUGUAUCUGACAUCUUUUUAAAGAUUCUCUAUAUAAAUGAGAUUAUGCAGUAUUUUUACUUCUGUGUCUGGCUUAUUUCACUUGACAUAAUGUCUUCCAGGUUCAUUCACGUUGUUGCAAAUAGCAGAUUCUCCUUUUUUAAGACUGAAUAAUAUUGCAUUGUAUAUACACUAUAAUUUUGUUAUUUACUCAUCCAUCAGGAACAUUUAGGCUGUUUCCAUAUGUUGGCUAUUGUGAAUAAUGCUGCAAUGAACAUGAGAGUGCAAAUAUCUCUGUGAGAGGGUGAUUUCAUUCCCUUUGGAUAUAUACCCAAAAGGGAGAUUGCUGAGUCAUGUAGUAGUUCUAUUUUUAUUUUUUUUAGGAACUCCCACACAGUUUUCCAUUAAAAUUGCACCAAUCUACAUUUCUACCAACAGUGUACAAGGGUUCCUUUCCUUUUCUCCACCUCCUUGCCAACACUCAUUACCUUUCUUAUUAAUCAUAGCUAUUCUAACAGGCGUGAGGUGAUAUCUCACUGCAGUUUUGGUUUGCUUUUCUUUGAUUAGUGACAUUGAGUCCAUUUUCAUACACUUGUUCGUCAUUUUUAUGUGCUGUUGGGGGAAAUGUCUACUCAGGUCCUUUGAACAGUUUUUAACUGGAUUAUGUUUGUUUUUUUUUAAUAUUGAGCUGUGUGGGCUCCUUAUAUAUUUUGGAUAUUAACUCCUUAUCAAAUAUAUGGUUCACAAAUAUCAUCUCCCAAUCCACAAGAUGCCAUUUCCUUUUCAUUUUGUGGAUUAUUUUGCUGUGCAGAAAUUUUUUAAUUUCGGUGUAGUCUCACUUAUUUUUGCUUUUAUUGCCUGAGUUUUUGAUGUGAUAUCCAAAAAAUCAUUGCCAAAGCCAACAUCAAGGAGCUUUUCUCCUAUGUUUUCUUUUUUUUUUUGAGACGGAGUUUCACGCUUGUUACCCAGGCUGGAGUGCAAUGGCGCGAUCUCGGCUCACCGCAACCUCCGCCUCCUGGGUUCAGGCAAUUCUCCUGCCUCAGCCUCCUGAGUAGCUGGGAUUACAGGCACGCACCACCGUGCCCAGCUAAUUUUUUGUAUUUUUAGUAGAGACGGAGUUUCACCAUGUUGACCAGGAUGGUCUCGAUCUCUUGACCUCGUGAUCCACCCGCCUCAGCCUCCCAAAGUGCUGGGAUUACAGGCUUCAGCCACCGCGCCCGGCCUCUCCUAUGUUUU